GACGAACGCUGGCGGCGUGCUUAACACAUGCAAGUCGAACGGAAAGGCCCUGCUUGCAGGGUCCUCGAGUGGCGAACGGGUGAGUAACACGUGGGUGAUCUGCCCUGCACUUCGGGAUAAGCCUGGGAAACUGGGUCUAAUACCGGAUAGGAGCCAUUUUUAGUGUGAUGGUUGGAAAGUUUUUUCGGUGUAGGAUGAGCUCGCGGCCUAUCAGCUUGUUGGUGGGGUAAUGGCCUACCAAGGCGGCGACGGGUAGCCGGCCUGAGAGGGUGGACGGCCACAUUGGGACUGAGAUACGGCCCAGACUCCUACGGGAGGCAGCAGUGGGGAAUAUUGCACAAUGGGCGCAAGCCUGAUGCAGCGACACCGCGUGGGGGAUGACGGCCUUCGGGUUGUAAACUCCUUUCGCUAGGGACGAAGCUUUUUGUGACGGUACCUAGAUAAGAAGCACCGGCUAACUACGUG
This 465-nucleotide ribosomal RNA is filed under the name uncultured bacterium. RNAcentral describes it as "partial 16S ribosomal RNA". It matches the Rfam family "Bacterial small subunit ribosomal RNA", at positions 28 to 507 of the family's 1533-position model. The record is from RNAcentral.